RNAcentral lists this ribosomal RNA (564 nucleotides) under Reduviidae cf. Ploiaria sp. JZ-2016. RNAcentral's name for it is "partial 16S ribosomal RNA". It matches the Rfam family "Bacterial large subunit ribosomal RNA", at positions 1798 to 2619 of the family's 2925-position model. The record is from RNAcentral. Lineage: Eukaryota; Metazoa; Arthropoda; Insecta; Hemiptera; Reduviidae.
GCCUGUUUAACAAAAACAUGUCCUUUUGAAUUUUUGUAAUAAUAUAAGGUUUAACCUGCUCAAUGAUUAAUAAUUUAUUAAAUGGCCGCGGUAUUUUAACUGUGCUAAGGUAGCAUAAUAACUUGUCUUUUAAUUGUAGGCUUGAAUGAAUGGUUGGACAAAGUAUUAACUUUCUUUAUUUUAAUUAUUGAAUUUUAUUUUUUAGUUAAAAAGCUUAAAUGUUUUUAAGGGACGAGAAGACCCUAUAGAUCUUUACAUUUAUUUAUUUUAUUAAUUUUUUAGUUUAUAAAUUAUUAUUAUUUUAAGUAUUGUUUUAUUGGGGUGAUAUCAAAAUUUAAAUAACUUUUGUAAUUUUUUACAUUGAUUUUUGUUUUUAAUGAUCCAGUUUUAUUGAUUAUAAGAUUAAGUUACCUUAGGGAUAACAGCGUAAUUUUUUUGGAGAGUUCUUAUUGAUGAAAAAGUUUGCGACCUCGAUGUUGGAUUAAAAUGUGUAUUUAAAUGUAGCAGUUAAAUUACUAGGUCUGUUCGACCUUUAAUUUUUUACAUGAUCUGAGUUCAGACCGG